RNAcentral lists this ribosomal RNA (2930 nucleotides) under Staphylococcus epidermidis. Its description in RNAcentral is "bacterial LSU rRNA". It matches the Rfam family "Bacterial large subunit ribosomal RNA". The record is from RNAcentral. Lineage: Bacteria; Bacillati; Bacillota; Bacilli; Caryophanales; Staphylococcaceae.
AGAUUAAGUUAUUAAGGGCGCACGGUGGAUGCCUUGGCACUAGAAGCCGAUGAAGGACGUUACUAACGACGAUAUGCUUUGGGUAGCUGUAAGUAAGCGUUGAUCCAGAGAUUUCCGAAUGGGGGAACCCAGCAUGAGUUAUGUCAUGUUAUCGACAUGUGAAUUCAUAGCAUGUCAGAAGGCAGACCCGGAGAACUGAAACAUCUUAGUACCCGGAGGAAGAGAAAGAAAAAUCGAUUCCCUGAGUAGCGGCGAGCGAAACGGGAAGAGCCCAAACCAACAAGCUUGCUUGUUGGGGUUGUAGGACACUCUAUACGGAGUUACAAAAGAACAUGUUAGACGAAUCAUCUGGAAAGAUGAAUCAAAGAAGGUAAUAAUCCUGUAGUCGAAAACAUAUUCUCUCUUGAGUGGAUCCUGAGUACGACGGAGCACGUGAAAUUCCGUCGGAAUCUGGGAGGACCAUCUCCUAAGGCUAAAUACUCUCUAGUGACCGAUAGUGAACCAGUACCGUGAGGGAAAGGUGAAAAGUACCCCGGAAGGGGAGUGAAAGAGAACUUGAAACCGUGUGCUUACAAGUAGUCAGAGCCCGUUAAUGGGUGAUGGCGUGCCUUUUGUAGAAUGAACCGGCGAGUUACGAUCUGAUGCAAGGUUAAGCAGCAAAUGUGGAGCCGCAGCGAAAGCGAGUCUGAAUAGGGCGUUGAGUAUUUGGUCGUAGACCCGAAACCAGGUGAUCUACCCUUGGUCAGGUUGAAGUUCAGGUAACACUGAAUGGAGGACCGAACCGACUUACGUUGAAAAGUGAGCGGAUGAACUGAGGGUAGCGGAGAAAUUCCAAUCGAACUUGGAGAUAGCUGGUUCUCUCCGAAAUAGCUUUAGGGCUAGCCUCAAGUGAUGAUUAUUGGAGGUAGAGCACUGUUUGGACGAGGGGCCCCUCUCGGGUUACCGAAUUCAGACAAACUCCGAAUGCCAAUUAAUUUAACUUGGGAGUCAGAACAUGGGUGAUAAGGUCCGUGUUCGAAAGGGAAACAGCCCAGACCACCAGCUAAGGUCCCAAAAUAUAUGUUAAGUGGAAAAGGAUGUGGCGUUGCCCAGACAACUAGGAUGUUGGCUUAGAAGCAGCCAUCAUUUAAAGAGUGCGUAAUAGCUCACUAGUCGAGUGACACUGCGCCGAAAAUGUACCGGGGCUAAACAUAUUACCGAAGCUGUGGAUUGUCCUUUGGACAAUGGUAGGAGAGCGUUCUAAGGGCGUCGAAGCAUGAUCGCAAGGACAUGUGGAGCGCUUAGAAGUGAGAAUGCCGGUGUGAGUAGCGAAAGACGGGUGAGAAUCCCGUCCACCGAUUGACUAAGGUUUCCAGAGGAAGGCUCGUCCGCUCUGGGUUAGUCGGGUCCUAAGCUGAGGCCGACAGGCGUAGGCGAUGGAUAACAGGUUGAUAUUCCUGUACCACCUAGUAUCGUUUUAAUCGAUGGGGGGACGCAGUAGGAUAGGCGAAGCGUGCUGUUGGAGUGCACGUCCAAGCAGUAAGGCUGAGUGUUAGGCAAAUCCGGCACUCAUAAGGCUGAGCUGUGAUGGGGAGAGGAAAUUGUUUCCUCGAGUCGCUGAUUUCACACUGCCGAGAAAAGCCUCUAGAUAGAUAACAGGUGCCCGUACCGCAAACCGACACAGGUAGUCAAGAUGAGAAUUCUAAGGUGAGCGAGCGAACUCUCGUUAAGGAACUCGGCAAAAUGACCCCGUAACUUCGGGAGAAGGGGUGCUCUUUAGGGUUCACGCCCAGAAGAGCCGCAGUGAAUAGGCCCAAGCGACUGUUUAUCAAAAACACAGGUCUCUGCUAAACCGUAAGGUGAUGUAUAGGGGCUGACGCCUGCCCGGUGCUGGAAGGUUAAGAGGAGUGGUUAGCUUCUGCGAAGCUACGAAUCGAAGCCCCAGUAAACGGCGGCCGUAACUAUAACGGUCCUAAGGUAGCGAAAUUCCUUGUCGGGUAAGUUCCGACCCGCACGAAAGGCGUAACGAUUUGGGCACUGUCUCAACGAGAGACUCGGUGAAAUCAUAGUACCUGUGAAGAUGCAGGUUACCCGCGACAGGACGGAAAGACCCCGUGGAGCUUUACUGUAGCCUGAUAUUGAAAUUCGGCACAGCUUGUACAGGAUAGGUAGGAGCCUUUGAAACGUGAGCGCUAGCUUACGUGGAGGCGUUGGUGGGAUACUACCCUAGCUGUGUUGGCUUUCUAACCCGCACCACUUAUCGUGGUGGGAGACAGUGUCAGGCGGGCAGUUUGACUGGGGCGGUCGCCUCCUAAAAGGUAACGGAGGCGCUCAAAGGUUCCCUCAGAAUGGUUGGAAAUCAUUCAUAGAGUGUAAAGGCAUAAGGGAGCUUGACUGCGAGACCUACAAGUCGAGCAGGGUCGAAAGACGGACUUAGUGAUCCGGUGGUUCCGCAUGGAAGGGCCAUCGCUCAACGGAUAAAAGCUACCCGGGGAUAACAGGCUUAUCUCCCCCAAGAGUUCACAUCGACGGGGAGGUUUGGCACCUCGAUGUCGGCUCAUCGCAUCCUGGGGCUGUAGUCGGUCCCAAGGGUUGGGCUGUUCGCCCAUUAAAGCGGUACGCGAGCUGGGUUCAGAACGUCGUGAGACAGUUCGGUCCCUAUCCGUCGUGGGCGUAGGAAAUUUGAGAGGAGCUGUCCUUAGUACGAGAGGACCGGGAUGGACAUACCUCUGGUGUACCAGUUGUCGUGCCAACGGCAUAGCUGGGUAGCUAUGUAUGGACGGGAUAAGUGCUGAAAGCAUCUAAGCAUGAAGCCCCCCUCAAGAUGAGAUUUCCCAACUUCGGUUAUAAGAUCCCUCGAAGAUGACGAGGUUAAUAGGUUCGAGGUGGAAGCGUGGUGACACGUGGAGCUGACGAAUACUAAUCGAUCGAAGACUUAAUCAAUUUUUAAA